RNAcentral lists this ribosomal RNA (483 nucleotides) under uncultured bacterium. RNAcentral describes it as "partial 16S ribosomal RNA". It matches the Rfam family "Bacterial small subunit ribosomal RNA", at positions 30 to 507 of the family's 1533-position model. The record is from RNAcentral.
UUGCACGCUGGCGGCAGGCCUAACACCUGCAAGUCGAGCGGAUGAAGGGAGCUUGCUCCUGGAUUCAGCGGCGGACGGGUGAGUAAUGCCUAGGAAUCUGCCUGGUAGUGGGGGAUAACGUCCGGAAACGGGCGCUAAUACCGCAUACGUCCUGAGGGAGAAAGUGGGGGAUCUUCGGACCUCACGCUAUCAGAUGAGCCUAGGUCGGAUUAGCUAGUUGGUGGGGUAAAGGCCUACCAAGGCGACGAUCCGUAACUGGUCUGAGAGGAUGAUCAGUCACACUGGAACUGAGGCACGGUCCAGACUCCUACGGGAGGCAGCAGUGGGGAAUAUUGGACAAUGGGCGAAAGCCUGAUCCAGCCAUGCCGCGUGUGUGAAGAAGGUCUUCGGAUUGUAAAGCACUUUAAGUUGGGAGGAAGGGCAGUAAGUUAAUACCUUGCUGUUUUGACGUUACCAACAGAAUAAGCACCGGCUAACUUCGUG